UAGUUUCCCUUGUUGUUUUAACUGUUGUUUUUCAUCAGACCACAACUCACUCCCCAAUGGUUAGCACAGUUGAAACCUCUCACUUCAACAAUACCUGCCCUGGUUACACCACAACCAUGAACCCUUCUCAAUGGGAUUGCAUGACAUGCCUCAAGGCUUCUCCAGAGUGUGGCUUUUGUGCUUCUAGAGCCAAUAAGGUAAAUGUCUCAUCAACCCUCAUGUUAGUAUCAUCAUAAGGUUUUCUGAUUCAACUUUGGAUCCUCCCUUGUGUAGGAUAAGGCCAAAAAAGAGACACAAAUUUGUCAUCUGAUAGGACUAUAUCAUGCUACUCAACAACAAAAGAUUCAUCAUAAUCUUCUUGAUUAUCAUAAUUCAUAAAACUUCUUGUUAGUACUAGACUUUAUUCAACAUGAUGUUACCAAACUAUAGUAAUUAUAGCAUCAACUUAUGAAAAUGGUCAUAGUUUUUUUGUUUGGAGUUACAAACUGUUCAUAUAUUUUUCUUGAGUCCUAAUUCCAAACACUACUUGAAUUAUUGUGCAGCUCUUACCUGGUGCAUGCUUGAUUUCCAAUGAGAGAACAGAAGAUGAGUGCCAUAAAGAGGAGAGGCUAUGGUACAGUAGGGGAUGUCCUAGUAAAUAUGGAUGGCUUGCUUUAAUUGGCCUAGGACUCUACAUAAUAUUCUUCUCACCAGGGAUGGGAACUGUUCCAUGGGUUGUGAACUCUGAGAUUUAUCCCUUAAGGUACAGAGGAAUCUGUGGAGGAAUGGCAUCUACCUCCAAUUGGGUUUCAAAUCUGAUUGUGGCCCAGUCCUUUCUGUCCUUGACACAAGCCAUUGGGACCUCAUCUACAUUCAUGAUAUUCAUAUUCAUCAGUGUUGCAGCCAUUAUCUUUGUCAUUAUUUUUGUGCCAGAAACCAAAGGACUUCCAAUUGAGGAAGUGGAGAACAUGCUGGAAAGAAGAUCUUUGAACUUUAAGUUUUG
Molecule: long non-coding RNA, 982 nt
Filed under: Phaseolus vulgaris (common bean)
Lineage: Eukaryota; Viridiplantae; Streptophyta; Magnoliopsida; Fabales; Fabaceae
Description: long non-coding RNA (PVUL_LNC001284)
Source: RNAcentral